RNAcentral lists this ribosomal RNA (253 nucleotides) under uncultured bacterium. Its description in RNAcentral is "partial 16S ribosomal RNA". It matches the Rfam family "Bacterial small subunit ribosomal RNA", at positions 524 to 776 of the family's 1533-position model. The record is from RNAcentral.
UACGGGGGGGGCAAGCGUUGUUCGGAAUUACUGGGCGUAAAGAGCUCGUAGGCGGUUUGUCGCGUCUGCCGUGAAAGUCCGGGGCUCAACUCCGGAUCUGCAGUGGGUACGGGCAGACUAGAGUGCGGUAGGGGAGACUGGAAUUCCUGGUGUAGCGGUGAAAUGCGCAGAUAUCAGGAGGAACACCGGUGGCGAAGGCGGGUCUCUGGGCCGUAACUGACGCUGAGGAGCGAAAGCAUGGGGAGCGAACAGG